RNAcentral lists this long non-coding RNA (1867 nucleotides) under Homo sapiens (human). RNAcentral's name for it is "HSALNT0394391". Lineage: Eukaryota; Metazoa; Chordata; Mammalia; Primates; Hominidae. The record is from RNAcentral.
CUGAUCCCACAGUUUAAAUUCAUUUCAAUUCAAUAAAGAGAGUUAAGAAAGGCCUGUGUCAUAAAGAGUAUGAUUUACUCUUAUGUUGAGCCACAAAACUGAUACAAACUUGUAAACUAAAGGCCUGGCUCUUAAGAAUUUAUGAUACAGUUGGACCAGCAUGCAUGAGCCCACAGUAAACAGGACAAGAUAGAGUGGAUUUGGAGCUAAAUCCAAUGGUGAUGGCUAGUCUUCUACUUCAACCAGAUUGCAAACCCACUAAGGCCUGGGAACAUAUAUGUCUGCAUAGAAUUGAAUGAGACCUUUGAGAUCAUUCUGUAUAAUCGUUUUAUUUCUACAGCUGGGGAAAUUGAAGACCAACAAGUUGUGAGUUGUCCAAGCUCAUACUACUAAUUAGUAUUCAGAAAACUCCUUAAAAUUCUGCUUGUUUUUGUCUUCCCUUGAUUGGUGAAGAAAAGAGGGAGUGACACUUUUCUCAGGGACUUUGUUACACUGUAGUUUGUCUAGGAUUUCCUCACCUUGAGGAGUAGGAGUAGUAAGAGGCAUGAUCUUGUAGUUUUGGUAUAGAUAUUUUUGAGAAUGUGAGUCACUUAUCACUCUGUGCUGGCCAGGAAGACUUCAAUGUGGAAAUUCUGGGACUCUGAACAUUGAUUUAAAUUCUCUCCACCAAUACAGGAUAAGGCAUUAGAAUCAAGAGUUUUUCUCCAAGUGGGAACUCCAAGUGGAGUUUUUCUCCAAGGCCGAUGAGAUAAGCCCUGGUCAUAAGUGAGAAAAAGCAGUUCAGAUCUGAGCUGGGUUGGCCAGACCAGAGAGAGAAAUGGGAGCAUUAUAAGAGGCUGAGCCUGGCUCUGGAGGUGAGAGUGUUGGGCUUUCUCUUUAGACACCCAAAUGAGAGAUGCCUUCUUUCCAGCUGGGAGCCUUGAAUGGCCUAAGGUGGCUUGCCAUCACUGGUCACAUCCAUUCUUGAGCUGCAGAUAUCUGAGCCUUGAGAGUCAUCAGCCCUGAUAGCAAAAGUAGGAAAAAGUCCAGCUAGAUCAUUGCACAUUUGCCAUCUUCUCCACUAGUGCCAGAAAAUUGCUCAUUUUAAUCUUUUUUACUCAAGAAAAAAAUAUCAAUAUAUUUUGAUAAAGGUAGUUGGGUUAAACAGGAUUUCAAUAGUCCUUCUUUAACCUCCAAUCUGUUUAGAAACCAUUCUUGAGCAGCAAUACUUCUUUGCCUGAAACUGAACUGCCCAUUCCAUUGGUUUUCUCGCCAAAAAGUUGAAGAAGAAUCUAUAAAAACUGAGAGUUUUUAAUUGCUAUUAUUUUAAUAGCUUUAGGGAGGUAUCGUUAACAUACAGCCAACUGCAAAUAUUUAAAGUAUACAACUUGAUUUGAAUCUACCCUUAAACAUAAAGCUUGCUUCAAAUGACCAAGAGAAGAAUUCAUAGAACUUGACCCAUUUGCCAGGUGCAGUGGCUCACGCCUGUAAUCCCAGCACUUUGGGAGGCUGAGGUGGACAGAUCGCUUGAGGUCAAGAAUUCGAGACCAGCCUGGCCAACAUGAUGAAACCCCGUCUCUACUAAUAAUAUAAGAAUUAGCCAGGCGUGGCGGUGUGCGCCUGUAAUCCCAGCUACUUGGGAGGCUGAGGGAGGUGAAUUGCUUGAACCCAGGAAGCAGAGGUUGCAGUGAGCUGAGAUCAUGCCACUGACUCCAGCCUGGGUGACAGAGUGAGACUCCAUCUCAAAAAAACAAAAAAACAAAAAAACAAAAAAACAAAAAAAAAUCCUCAACCUUUCCUUCAGAUUUUCUACAAUAAACAUUUUUUUAAAUAAUCAGAGUUUUUUCCCAAAGGUUGUUGGUUUUUAAGUUAUAUGAUAUAUAGCCUG